This 549-nucleotide ribosomal RNA is filed under the name Triticum aestivum (bread wheat). Its description in RNAcentral is "partial small subunit ribosomal RNA". The record is from RNAcentral. Lineage: Eukaryota; Viridiplantae; Streptophyta; Magnoliopsida; Poales; Poaceae.
UGCAAAGUAAACUGGUCGGCGGUGUGCUCGCUGACGGAGUACGGGGGCCUGGGCGUCCAUGAGCUCCAGCGCUUCGGCAGGGCCCUUCGCCUACGCUGGAUGUUGAUCGCCUGGCACCACCCAGAGCGACCCUGGGUGGGCACGGAGUUGCCCUGCAACACGGAGGACACGACACUGUUCACGACAUCGACCAGCGUGGCCAUCGGUGACGGGGCGUUGGCCUCCUUCUGGCACUCUUCCUGUAUCAGACACGGAAGCCUAGCUCAGCAAUUCCGGUCGCUCUUCAGGCACUCGCCGAGGAAGAAUAGAUCGGUUCGGGACACACUCAAUGAAGACACAUGGAUCAAGGACCUCGCCCACAACAGCACCCAAGAACUGCUGCAGGAGUUCACGGUCAUGCACCGAGCACUGAGAGGGGUGCUCGAGACUCUGUUGGAGGGCACACCGGACGCCAUCACCUGGACUGGAGAGAGUUCAGGGAGAUACUCUUCCAAAUCAGCCUAUCUGACGCAAUUCCAGGGAGGAUGGCAACGUGCUUCGAUCAAUUAA